This 460-nucleotide ribosomal RNA is filed under the name uncultured bacterium. RNAcentral's name for it is "partial 16S ribosomal RNA". It matches the Rfam family "Bacterial small subunit ribosomal RNA", at positions 338 to 795 of the family's 1533-position model. The record is from RNAcentral.
CCUACGGGUGGCAGCAGUGAGGAAUAUUGGUCAAUGGACGAGAGUCUGAACCAGCCAAGUAGCGUGAAGGAUGACUGCCCUAUGGGUUGUAAACUUCUUUUAUAUGGGAAUAAAAUGUUCCACGUGUGGGAUUUUGUAUGUACCAUAUGAAUAAGGAUCGGCUAACUCCGUGCCAGCAGCCGCGGUAAUACGGAGGAUUCGAGCGUUAUCCGGAUUUAUUGGGUUUAAAGGGAGCGUAGGUGGAUUGUUAAGUCAGUUGUGAAAGUUUGCGGCUCAACCGUAAAAUUGCAGUUGAAACUGGCAGUCUUGAGUACAGUAGAGGUGGGCGGAAUUCGUGGUGUAGCGGUGAAAUGCUUAGAUAUCACGAAGAACUCCGAUUGCGAAGGCAGUUCACUGGACUGCAACUGACACUGAGGCUCGAAAGUGUGGGUAUCAAACAGGAUUAGAUACCCGUGUAGUC